GUAUUCGAAUUUUAGCCCUGGCUGAGCGGUCCACCAUUGGCUGGUACUGUUCUGGCUGGGGUUCACCUUCUGGUGAGCCGGUGUGCUCUUAACUGGGUGUGCCGGGGAACCAGGACUUUUACUUUGAAAAAAUUAGAGUGUUUAAAGCAGGCCUAUGCUUGAAUACAUUAGCAUGGAAUAAUAGAAUAGGACCUCGGUUCUAUUUUGUUGGUUUCUAGGACCGAAGUAAUGAUUAAUAGGGAUAGUUGGGGGCAUUAGUAUUUAGUAGCUAGAGGUGAAAUUCUUGGAUUUAUGAAAGACUAACUUCUGCGAAAGCAUUUGCCAAGGAUGUUUUCAUUAAUCAAGAACGAAAGUUAGGGGAUCGAAGACGAUCAGAUACCGUCGUAGUCUUAACCAUAAACUAUGCCGACUAGGGAUCAGACGAUGUUAAUUUACUGACUCGUUUGGCACCUUAUGAGAAAUCAAAGUUUUUGGGUUCCGGGGGGAGUAUGGUCGCAAGGCUGAAACUUAAAGGAAUUGACGGAAGGGCACCACCAGGAGUGGAGCCUGCGGCUUAAUUUGACUCAACACGGGGAAACUCACCAGGUCCAGACAUAGUAAGGAUUGACAGAUUGAGAGCUCUUUCUUGAUUCUAUGGGUGGUGGUGCAUGGCCGUUCUUAGUUGGUGGAGUGAUUUGUCUGCUUAAUUGCGUUAACGAACGAGACCUUAACCUGCUAAAUAGCUAUGCCAACUUUUGUUGGUAGCCAGCUUCUUAGAGGGACUGUCGGCGAUUAGCCGACGGAAGUUUGAGGCAAUAACAGGUCUGUAAUGCCCUUAGAUGUCCUGGGCCGCACGCGCGCUACACUGAUGAAGUCAACGAGUCUAUAACCUUGGCCGGAAGGU
Molecule: ribosomal RNA, 883 nt
Filed under: Mucoromycotina sp. MIB 8438.2
Lineage: Eukaryota; Fungi; Mucoromycota; Endogonomycetes; Endogonales; Densosporaceae
Description: SSU rRNA
Rfam family: Eukaryotic small subunit ribosomal RNA
Source: RNAcentral